GGCCCCAUAGUCUAGUGGUAAAACGAUUCGUUUACACCGAAUAGUCCGCAGUUCGAUUCUGCGUGGGGCCA
This 71-nucleotide transfer RNA is filed under the name Candidatus Parvarchaeota archaeon. Its description in RNAcentral is "tRNA-Val". It matches the Rfam family "tRNA". Rfam says of the family: Transfer RNA (tRNA) molecules are approximately 80 nucleotides in length. Their secondary structure includes four short double-helical elements and three loops (D, anti-codon, and T loops). Lineage: Archaea; Nanobdellati; Candidatus Parvarchaeota. The record is from RNAcentral.